RNAcentral lists this ribosomal RNA (397 nucleotides) under uncultured bacterium. Its description in RNAcentral is "partial 16S ribosomal RNA". It matches the Rfam family "Bacterial small subunit ribosomal RNA", at positions 523 to 918 of the family's 1533-position model. The record is from RNAcentral.
AUACGUAGGGGGCGAGCGUUGCCCGGAAUGAUUGGGCGUAAAGGGCGCGUAGGCGGCGCGGUAAGUCUGGAGUGAAAGUCCUGCUUUCAAGGUGGGAAUUGCUUUGGAUACUGCCGCGCUUGAGUGCAGGAGAGGUUAUCGGAAUUCCCGGUGUAGCGGUGAAAUGCGUAGAGAUCGGGAGGAACACCAGUGGCGAAGGCGGGUAACUGGACUGCAACUGACGCUGAGGCGCGAAAGUGUGGGGAGCAAACAGGAUUAGAUACCCUGGUAGUCCACACUGUAAACGAUGAAUGCUAGGUGUAAGAGGUAUCGACCCCUUUUGUGCCGGAGUCAACACAAUAAGCAUUCCGCCUGGGGAGUACGGCCGCAAGGUUGAAACUCAAAUGAAUUGACGGGG